RNAcentral lists this ribosomal RNA (443 nucleotides) under uncultured bacterium. Its description in RNAcentral is "partial 16S ribosomal RNA". It matches the Rfam family "Bacterial small subunit ribosomal RNA", at positions 338 to 795 of the family's 1533-position model. The record is from RNAcentral.
CCUACGGAUGGCAGCAGUGGGGAAUCUUGGGCAAUGGAGGAAACUCUGACCAAGCAACGCCGCGUGAAUGAUGAAGGUCUUCGGAUUGAAAAGUUCUUUUCUAAGGGAAGAAGAAAGUGACGGUUCCUUAGGCAUAAGUCUCGGCUAACUACGUGGCAGCAGCCGCGGUAAUACGUCGGAGGCGAGCGUUAUCCGGAAAGACUGGGCGUAAAGGGUGCGUAGGUGGUUUGGCAAGUUAGUAGCGUAACUCCAAGGCUCAACCUUGGAACUACUACUAAAACUGUUGGACUUGAGUGCAGUAGGGGCAAGCGGAAUUCCUAGGGUAGCGGUGGAAUGCGUAGAGAUUAGGAGGAACACCAGUGGCGAAGGCGAGUUGCUAGACUGUAACUGACACUGAGGCGCGAAAGCGUGGGGAGCAAACAGGAUUAGAUACCCCAGUAGUC